This 473-nucleotide ribosomal RNA is filed under the name uncultured bacterium. RNAcentral's name for it is "SSU rRNA". It matches the Rfam family "Bacterial small subunit ribosomal RNA", at positions 26 to 518 of the family's 1533-position model. The record is from RNAcentral.
AGGACGAACGCUGGCGGCGUGCUUAACACAUGCAAGUCGAGCGGAAAGGCCCUUCGGGGUACUCGAGCGGCGAACGGGUGAGUAACACGUGAGCAACCUGCCCUUAGCUCCGGGAUAGCUCCGGGAAACCGGAAUUAAUACCGGAUACGACCACGGCCGACAUCUGCUGUGGUGGAAAGGAUUCCGGCUAAGGAUGGGCUCGCGGCCUAUCAGCUAGUUGGUGGAGUAACGGCCCACCAAGGCGACGACGGGUAGCCGGCCUGAGAGGGCGACCGGCCACACUGGGACUGAGACACGGCCCAGACUCCUACGGGAGGCAGCAGUGGGAAUAUUGCGCAAUGGGCGAAAGCCUGACGCAGCGACGCCGCGUGGGGGAUGAAGGCCUUCGGGUUGUAAACCCCUUUCAGCAGGGACGAAGCGAAAGUGGCGGUACCUGCAGAAGAAGCGCCGGCUAACUACGUGCCAGCAGCCGC